Non-coding RNA from Procambarus clarkii (red swamp crayfish), 495 nucleotides. NCBI's taxonomy places the organism in Eukaryota, Metazoa, Arthropoda, Malacostraca, Decapoda, Cambaridae. The record is from RefSeq and is a predicted model, not a curated record.
UUAGGUGAGUAGAGGUGUACAGGUUAGUGUUAGGGCGUGAUGUUACUCUUGAGCUGGUACCCCGUUACCCUUUGGGGUCGCUAGGGCUGACAGACCCCCUAGCUUACACUGUCACUCAGUACACCGUCAAAACGCACAUAGGGGCAAAAAUAUCUAUUAUUUCAGUCUUGAAGGAGCGAUGAUUGGAGUCAUACCCUGGCGAGCAGAAGGUGGUGGCAGAUGUUAGAGUUGUGAUACUUGAGUUACCAAGGUGACACGCUUGAGGACCCUCGACGUGGAUGACGUUGUUACCAUCGCGUGUAGUUACUCUCGGGGGACAACCUCCAGCUGUUGAAGGAUCAAGUUUCUUCCAUAGAAGAUAUCUGCGGCCUGAUCACUUUGGGGGUUCCGACGGAGCACGCACAAGGGCGAACGCCUCGGCUGGCCGCUGUAACUAGGAAUGUGUGUCCACCUCAUGGCCGCAGUAGUCUUGCCCUCGCCCUCCAUCCCUUUUCC